GGGAGUAUGGCGGAAUUGGUAGACGCUACGGACUUAAAAUCCGUUGGCUUUAGUGACCGUGAGGGUUCAAGUCCCUCUACCCCCA
Molecule: transfer RNA, 85 nt
Filed under: Buxbaumia aphylla
Lineage: Eukaryota; Viridiplantae; Streptophyta; Bryopsida; Buxbaumiales; Buxbaumiaceae
Description: tRNA-Leu
Rfam family: tRNA
About the family: Transfer RNA (tRNA) molecules are approximately 80 nucleotides in length. Their secondary structure includes four short double-helical elements and three loops (D, anti-codon, and T loops).
Source: RNAcentral